AUUGAACGCAGGCGGCAGGCUUAACACAUGCAAGUCGAGCGGAGUGAUGGUGCUUGCACUAUCACUUAGCGGCGGACGGGUGAGUAAUGCUUAGGAAUCUGCCUAUUAGUGGGGGACAACAUCUCGAAAGGGAUGCUAAUACCGCAUACGUCCUACGGGAGAAAGCAGGGGAUCACUUGUGACCUUGCGCUAAUAGAUGAGCCUAAGUCGGAUUAACUAGUUGGUGGGGUAAGGGCCUACCAAGGCGACGAUCUGUAGCGGGUCUGAGAGGAUGAUCCGCCACACUGGGACUGAGACACGGCCCAGACUCCUACGGGAGGCAGCAGUGGGGAACAUUGGACAAUGGGGGGAAACCUGAUCCAGCCAUGCCGCGUGUGUGAAGAAGGCCUUAUGGUUGUAAAGCACUUUAAGCGAGGAGGAGGCUCUUUUGGUUAAUACCCAAGAUGAGUGGACGUUACUCGCAGAGUAAGCACCGGCUAACUCUGUGCCAGCAGCCGCGGUAA
This 503-nucleotide ribosomal RNA is filed under the name uncultured bacterium. RNAcentral describes it as "partial 16S ribosomal RNA". It matches the Rfam family "Bacterial small subunit ribosomal RNA", at positions 30 to 523 of the family's 1533-position model. The record is from RNAcentral.